GACCAAGAAGUCUAACAUGUGUGCGAGUCAUUGGGUAUAUUGUUGAAACCUAAGGGCGAAAUUAAAAUAACUAUUUUAUGGGAUUACAAGUGAAUUAAUUUUCAUUUCUCCAUCCCGGGGCGUUCUAUACGAACAUGGUUCAAGCAAUUGGGCCCUCUGUUCAAGAGCGUACCUUGAGCAUACAUGCUGUGACCCGAAAGAUGGUGAACUAUACCUGAUCAGAUCGAAGCCAGGAGAAAUUCUGGUGGAGGAUCGAAACAGUUCUGACGUGCAAAUCGAUUGUCAGAAUUGGGUAUAGGGGCGAAAGACCAAUCGAACCAUCUAGUAGCUGGUUCCCUCCGAAGUUUCCCUCAGGAUAGCUGGCGCAAAGAAUUAUAUUAAAUAUAAUCUUAUCUGGUAAAGCGAAUGAUUAGAGGCCUUGGGGCCGAAACGACCUCAACCUAUUCUCAAACUUUAAAUGGGUAAGAACCUCAUCUUUCUUGAUCUGAAGAUAUUGGGGUUUAGAUAUAUUGUGCCCAGUGGGCCACUUUUGGUAAGCAGAACUGGCGCUGUGGGAUGAACCAAACAUGAUGUUACGGCGCCUAAAUUAAUGACUCAUAUUGAUACCAUGAAAGGCGUUGGUUGCUUAAAACAGCAGGACGGUGGACAUGGAAGUCGUAAUCCGCUAAGGAGUGUGUAACAACUCACCUGCCGAAGCAACUAGCCCUUAAAAUGGAUGGCGCUCAAGUCAUAUGCCUAUACAUCAUCGCUAGAAUAAAAAUUGUUGACUUUAUGGUGAUCAUUGUGAAAUUCUAGUGAGUAGGAGGGUACAAUGGUGUGCGCAGAAGUGUUUGGCGUGAGCCUGCAUGAAGCCGCCAUUGGCACAGAUCUUGGUGGUAGUAGCAAAUAAUCGAAUGAGAUCUUGGAGGACUGAAGUGGAGAAGGGUUUCGUGUGAACAGUGGUUGAUCACGAGUUAGUCGGUCCUAAGCUUUAUGCGAAAGCUGUUUAAUUUAUGUUACACAUUAUUUAUUUAUUUGAUGUACAUAAUUCAAUAAAAGCGAAAGGGAAUACGGUUCCAAUUCCGUAACCUGUUGAGUAUACGUUUGUUUAUUAAAAAUGGGUCUUAUUACACUCAUCCUGGCAACAGGAACGACCAUAGAGAAGCUUUCGAGAGAUACUGGAAGAGUUUUCUUUUCUGCUAAACAAACGUAUCACCAUGGAAGUCUUUUAUAGAGAGAUAUGGUGAAUGGCUUGGAAGAGCAUGACAUUUACUGUUGUGUCAGUAUUUUCUCCUUGGACCUUGAAAAUCUAUGGUGGGGCCACGCAAACUUCUCAACAGACCGUACCGAUAUCCGCAGCCGGUCUCCAAGGUGAAGAGUCUCUAGUCGAUAGA
RNAcentral lists this ribosomal RNA (1373 nucleotides) under Schwenckfeldina carbonaria. RNAcentral's name for it is "eukaryotic LSU rRNA". It matches the Rfam family "Eukaryotic large subunit ribosomal RNA", at positions 664 to 1894 of the family's 3401-position model. Lineage: Eukaryota; Metazoa; Arthropoda; Insecta; Diptera; Sciaridae. The record is from RNAcentral.